GGCCAUAAAACCGAUUCUUUAUUUGCCUUACUUGGUGGGUCCUCUAAUCUGAGCUUGUCGCAUCAAAGCUCUUAAGAUUUAUAAAUUAAGAAGUGCCUCAGUAAGUCCUACAAAACACGGCUGAGUUCUCUAUUCGUCCAUCAUCUAUCCAUCCUUCCAUCCAUCAAAUAUCAUUAAUAAUCACUAUAAUUCUCUCCAUUUCAUUUUUAUUGCUUUUACCCUAUUAUAGACCUCUUUAAAUUCUCACUUUUUUUGAUAAAAUACUGUCCUGAUUGGACUCCUCGAAAUGUGUAUCAUGUCCAGUUUUCAAAUAUUUUUGUCAUGUUAUCUUAUAAAAGAGUACUUUGAUUUUGUUCUUCCCGUUUAAAGGACAUAGUGUACAUAAUAAAUUAGUACCUCGGCUGGUCUAUAGUCGGUGCUCAGUAAAUACUCUUUUUGCCACAGCUACCCACCGGACCUGAAGCUAAGCACGGGGCAUGCAGCAGACACAAACAAGACAUGGAGGUCCGGUGGAUAUGAAGAACAGUAAAUAAUCUACCAGCAAACAAAAGGAUGGAGGCAGCAGUCAGGAGAAAUGAGGCAUCAGGGCAAAAAGUCUGGGAACCAUAAGAAGAGGACACACAAGAGGGAGAGUUCACUGUCCCACCCCUCCCUUAAUACUACAGCACUGGAUCCCUACUAUUGAUACACAGUUUUCCUUCUGCACGAGAUGGAAAGUUCUCAGAAGGAAAAGACUAUAUCCACACAAGGAAAGGCACCAAAGCUUGG
RNAcentral lists this long non-coding RNA (768 nucleotides) under Fukomys damarensis (Damara mole-rat). RNAcentral's name for it is "lncRNA (ENSFDAG00000026781.1)". The record is from RNAcentral. Lineage: Eukaryota; Metazoa; Chordata; Mammalia; Rodentia; Bathyergidae.